This 731-nucleotide long non-coding RNA is filed under the name Marmota monax (woodchuck). The record is from RNAcentral. Lineage: Eukaryota; Metazoa; Chordata; Mammalia; Rodentia; Sciuridae.
UAUGCUGGACCGGUAGUCAGUGACGGGUAUGAUCCAAUUGCAGUGGUACCAACCUAAGACAGGAGGCUGACGCCUUGAGGUCAGCUCAUCCGAUGACGGGUAAGGACCAUAUGUAGUAUUGGACAACCUAACAGGCAUGGUCCCUAAGCCACAUUGCUUGUUGUUUAAUUAAACAGAAGGGGGGAGAUGCUGAAAGCCACAGCCGAGUCAGAAUGGCCCCUGGCAUUUUGCCAACAGUAUUGGUUGAGAGGGGAGCUAUUAUUAUCCACCUCAGCCCGCUACUUUGGAGUUCUCCUGCUACUUUGGACUUCUCGUGGGGAUUCCUGGAGAGUUCGCAUUGGUUGGGGAAGUGACGGAGGAGGGAGUUCCGGUUGGUGGUUGCUGGAGGAGCCACGUGGCGUUCGGGGGAGUUCCCGGAACCAUGUGUGGAGUGUGCUGGCAGAGUUCAGAAAUAAAGUUUGUUCUUGCUUCAGUGGCUUGUGAUUUGUGCCCAGCCAGACUGCUGCAGAUCCUCCCCGCUGGGUGUCUGGGAGAGCUUGUAUACUGCCACAGCCAGGGAAAAGAGGACUUGCCCCUCCAGGCGUGAAACCCCUUCCACCUGGGUGUCUGUGGGAGCACCUAUACAGCCACAGGUAGGGUAGAAGGGAUGCCAUUUUCCAGGCUGGAGACUCCUCACACCUACUUGUCUCAGGAACUCCUAUACCACAGCAGCCAUGGUAGAGGGAACUAGC